ACACUCAGCUGCCCUUCGGAGCCCAACUGCCUCUCUGCGCGUUCGAUGCGCACACGCAUAUAAGAACAUCGGUGCCGUCGCACAGGCGAACUUCCAAGAAGUGUAAGGAAGCGAAGCCUCCCGCACACGUUGCUACAGGGGCUGGCUCUCCACCGGGCUGGUACCGAAACUGCUCUCAGCGCCCUGUAUUAGCAGACGGUCAUCCCUACCCCCCCCCUCUAUUCCUGCGCUGAAGUCUAGCAUUCGUGCGCGCGCGCGGACGUACACGCAUCCAUCGUUCUCUGUGGUGUGGCCGCUGCUGGUUUCGUUCCCUGCUUCGAUCACGCAAACUUGACGUACCGAUGAGGGUGACGGUCAAGUGGUUUCUGACGGGCAGGUACUCCGUUAUCGAAGACAGUGAUGCGAUUUUGUCGCCGGACACCACCAUUGCGGAGCUGAAGGGGCUCAUUCAUAUUCGAUUCGGCUUUUCAUCGAAUGAGCUUUUGCUGGUGCUGGAUCACCUGCUAGAGAACACGGUUACCCUGCGCAGCCUCAGCAUCAUGGGUCAGCCGUGCGACCCCAUCAUGACGGCGCAUGUCGUGAGAGAGUCGGUGCUCGAGAUGAGCAACCUCAAGCACCAGGACGAUACAAGUAAGGACGACGACCUGCACGAGUUCUCGCACGCCGAUUUUAUUCUGGCCAUGAAGAUGCUUGGCAAGGAUGUGCCGGUUCCAGACGAUCGUCUUGUCGCCAUGCGUCUGAACGCCCCUCGCCAACGUCCAGUCUUCCUCGACGCUCGGCGGGAGGACGAAGACGACGCUGCUGGUCCCGAACGAGUCCCUCAGCCUCCACCCGGCAUGCCAGGCCUGGCGGGGUGCGAGGUUCCGACUUACAACCCGAAGAAGACGGAGGUGUACCAGAUCGUAUCCCGCGUCCAGUAUGGCCCGCGUAAGGAGGGCGUGGACACCGAAUUCGCGAUCCAGUACCCCGGUGUCAACGAGCCCUUUCCGUUUUGGGACAUGCGCACACCAGAUCCGUUUGCCCGCAUCGAUGGGCAGUGCGCCCCUGGCGAGGUCUGCCUCGAGCUUUUCUACUUUGGCGAUUUCGACGCUGUCAAGGACCAGCCCGGCUUCUUGUUGGUGGUGCAGCAAAGCCUGCAGUCUAAGGCUGGCGUACGCCUGCGGACACCGCUGCCGCUGCGUGAGGCAGGGUGCAUGUACCCCCUCAUUGCAGUCCCCAUUGUGCUGCACGAGAUGGACGCCAUGGAACUCGGUGACAUCUUCUUUGAGGACUUUGGAAGGGUCGAGUCUGCACGACCCCUCAAGGGCAACAACGACGGUGCAGAAGUCGCUGGCAGCGGCGGCCUUGGCUGCGCUCCACAGUAGCCGAUGCGAAUGAGUAGAAGAGAGGCGGUGGCGCGCAGUAAAGACCCUGUCAGUGACGCGCCUGCGGAAGAGCACGGCCUCCUCCACGGCUAUCCGGGGUGGGGUGGGGUGUGAUCUGCCGGUUGCUUUGGAGGAUGACCGCAGAGCGAGUAAACAAAAACGAAGAUGCGCCUCCAUCCACGCAGGAGAGAAGAUCGACUGUGUUUCUUCGCGCACGCGCUCUCGCCCUUGCCACCUCGUUGCCCGCCGGCCCUCCCCGCUGCUGCCUCACUUCUUCGCCGACAUCUGCGAAACAUAUACGUAUCCUCGUUGGCGUACUGUUUGCUCCAUGUCUUCGUGCUGUGGCUCUCUGUCAAUGCUGUCAUAGCAGUCACCGAGUUCCCACGCAUACCCAACUCAACCGGUUCCACGAACCGACUCAGCAUACCAGGUUUCUCAUGCAUACGCAUACGCAACAAGUCUGUGUGAAGGCACUUGCCUGCGAGCCGUUUUCCAGCCGGCUCUUCGACUUCCUCGUCUCGGCGCGUGUGUGCAGGCGCGGUGUGCAGGAGCGCGACUCGCUUCAUUUGCCGCUUCUUCCAUUCCGUCUUGUGUGCCGUGGCCAUCUUACGAGUUUUGUGUCUUUUGUGGUGCAUGCCACGUGCGACGGAUAUCGCAGCGCCUCAUGUCGGUGCGCUGGGUCAGGUUGGGUUUCCACCGUCACAUCGAAAGUACUCACAAGAGCGAGAGCCGGGGGGCUGGGGGGGUGGAGGAGAUGUGGCGUUUAUGGACCGCAAUAGGCUUGCACACACGUGCGAGCAUACGCGCGUGCCUGUGCACCGACUCGGCGGCCAAAUCUGGCUGAUAACUUCCUCGUGGCAAAUGAUUUCCUUGUUAUGGUCGAACCUCACAUUCUAUGCCGCGAUCCUCUGUUUUGGAUUCUCCUCCCCCCCCUCACCUCUUGGUUCUUUCAGCCAGAUGCCUUUGGAUGAAUGCUGUGGCUGCACGGCAUGGCGUCCAACAGUGUCAUCGUCUACAUUUUCGUCGAGAAGUGCUCUUCCUUAUUCUUUUGUUGUUCUUGAACUCUGGUGCUGCGUUGAUCCCUGUGUAGGGCGGCGCGUUGACGAUGUCUUUCUUGCCUGUGGUUGGUCCCUUUGUUCUGUGGUGUCUGUUUCGCUCUUACCGCUCUUCACCCUCACAUGCGGGCGCACGCGACGGCGGCACUGGCGUGCAGCGAGGGCGUGCUCUACUACUAAUAGGAAGCACCUGCGCUGCGGCGUGCAGAGUCUGGAGAGAGACAACCGAGGAGAGAGAGCGAGCAAGGUGAGUGGCAGAGGCAUGGGUAUCUUGCCUUUAUUCGGUGCGUGCGGAGGUGCGUUCUUGUCUCUGUGGACCAGCUUCCAUCUGCGAAGACGCAGUUAUCGUGGUGCUGACGUUGAGUUCGUGUUGCCGCGCCCCACCCCCUUAUUUGCUUUUCACUGUAUUCUCCUUGGCGCUGGCGCUUGACCCCCCCCGGUGCCUUCCGACGCGAGGCACGCUCAAAAGGACAAGAGAUGUCGAAGAAAAUGGCAGCGGAGAGGGGCGGCGUGCGCGCCAGGUGAACGCUGCAUGGGUGCUUGAGUUGGCGCACACUCACAGACGACGGCACCUCGUCGCUCUUGCCUCUUUCGAUUGCUUUGCUGCCCUUUGUGACCUGCGUCGUCGUCGCACACGUGCACCAUAGCAGCAGCGGAAACAGCUCUCUCCCUUCGCCCCCCCCACAGCUGGUCGAUGUGCACAUUCGUAUGAUGAUGUUCACGGACAGCAAGCUACACGUGACAGCGGCAGCGAUGACGCGCCUCUUUCGUUGCGCAUCUUUGUCCGCUGCUGGCACCCUCUCCCUACCCCGUUUCGGUUUCUCUGCCUCCUAUAGUGUUGCUACCCAUCUGUAUGCGUACCUGCGCCUGCGCUGUCUUUCUCUUGCGCCACCUGUUGCCCUCCUGUCGUCUCUCCUCUGUGUGCUGGUGACAUCCAGGUGAGAGAGGCCCCCUCCCCCCUCCCACUUCCCUCCCCCUGCUCGCUGCAG
Molecule: unclassified non-coding RNA, 3408 nt
Filed under: Leishmania donovani
Lineage: Eukaryota; Euglenozoa; Kinetoplastea; Trypanosomatida; Trypanosomatidae
Description: gene:LdHU3.24.0250(CDS-product:hypothetical_prote in_conserved)
Source: RNAcentral